CAGCACUAUCUCACACACUGAAAAUGAAACCAAUGACUCUCUUUGACUACUGUUGCCACUGAUGCUCAUACAGCCUUGCACAGAGAUCAUAAUAAACACUUGUGUGUCAGUCUGAGAUGAAAGAUGGAGGCAUGAGAAAGGAAUCCCAUGAUAUUAUACAGCAGCUUCUUCAUCCUGACUUCCCCUCUAUGUGAAGAUGACUGAUUUAAAGCCCGGGAACAACAGCUUCAUUAAAGCCUAUGGAGUUGGAAAUCAAAGAUAACUGAAGUGACAGGAAAGUGGUAUGCAAUUGCUUAAGUAUGUAAUCCCUUAAUUAUUUUGUUCAGGAAACAAUAGUCAUUUCCCUCACUGAUCAGGAAAAAACAUCAAAGCUUAGAUUACAUAAUUAAACUCCUUUUUUUUCCUAUGUACUGGCAUUUGGGAGAGUACAUGGUAUACUGUAGUAAAUGACACAAAGAAUUCACAUGUACAAUGGCAUUGAAUUUCCACUAAAUAAGGAUAAAUUAAAAAUGUCAACUGUAUUUCAUAUUUGCAGUAAUCCUAGGAAGUAAGAAGCCAGAUAGUCAGUCACUCACCCAGGAACAGUGACUGAAUUCCAUGGCUGAGAGAGGUUUUCAGCUCAUGUUUCCCUGAUCCUAAUACAGAGGUGGGCAACAUUAAAUGUUCCAGGGGCCAGUUUUCCACCCCCAAGACCACACUAGGGCUGAAAAUGCAGAUACACCAAACCAAAAUGGCAUCUCCAUUUUCUAGAAUUCUAUUUCUGGUGGAUUUUGUUUGUUUGUUUGAGAUGCCUUGGAUAUUGGCUCGUGGCAGUGGGAUUUUAAGACCUGUUUUCCCAUACAGGGGUCCAUAAGGAAGCACAGAAGGGACCCCUUAAAAUGGCCUAGACCGAGGUUAUAGGUGCACAAUGCUCCACAUCCAUGCUGUUAUUUGCCCACCUAGUCCUUACACAUCAGGUUUUUAAAAAGUUUUUGAUUUUCCUGUACAAAGUUCCUGACAAACCACCCCCACCACUUCCACCCAAACACAAACCUUCAGGCUGACAGGUUGUGUAGUGUCUGUUGCAUUACAGUUAACAAGGUCUGCAGAUUUUCUACAUGGAUAAAGAUGAAGAGAAGGUUCUAGCCACAAGGAAGACAUUGUGUCACUAUUUGGGAAGUUUGAUUUAAGUAUGAAAAAGAAGUGCUUCCUAACAGUGAUAUAAAUUGAGUUACGUGACACUGCCUGCCUGUUUAAGUUCUUAAUAAAGAAAUGUGUAUAGCCUCA
This 1266-nucleotide long non-coding RNA is filed under the name Pogona vitticeps (central bearded dragon). Its description in RNAcentral is "lncRNA (ENSPVIG00000008273.1)". The record is from RNAcentral. Lineage: Eukaryota; Metazoa; Chordata; Lepidosauria; Squamata; Agamidae.